Molecule: ribosomal RNA, 253 nt
Filed under: uncultured prokaryote
Description: partial 16S ribosomal RNA
Rfam family: Bacterial small subunit ribosomal RNA
Source: RNAcentral
CACGUAGGAGGCAAACGUUAUCCGGAUUUAUUGGGCGUAAAGAGCGUGUAGGCGGCCGGAUAUGUCAGAUGUGAAAGCCCCGGGCUUAACCCGGGAAGUGCAUUUGAAACUGUCCGGCUCGAGUAGGGGAGAGGGAAGUGGAAUUCCUGGUGUAGAGGUGAAAUUCGUAGAUAUCAGGAGGAACACCGGUGGCGAAGGCGACUUUCUGGCCCGAUACUGACGCUCAGGCGCGAAAGCGUGGGGAGCAAACAGG